This 465-nucleotide ribosomal RNA is filed under the name uncultured bacterium. Its description in RNAcentral is "partial 16S ribosomal RNA". It matches the Rfam family "Bacterial small subunit ribosomal RNA", at positions 28 to 507 of the family's 1533-position model. The record is from RNAcentral.
GACGAACGCUGGCGGCGUGCUUAACACAUGCAAGUCGAACGGAAAGGCCCCUUCGGGGGUACUCGAGUGGCGAACAGGUGAGUAACACGUGAGUAACCUGCCCUUGACUUCGGGAUAACUUCAGGAAACUGGGGCUAAUACCGGAUAGGAAUCCUUGCUGCAUGGUGGGGGUUGGAAAGCUUCGGCGGUUUUGGAUGGACUCGCGGCUUAUCAGCUUGUUGGUGGGGUAGUGGCUUACCAAGGCUUUGACGGGUAGCCGGCCUGAGAGGGCGACCGGCCACAUUGGGACUGAGAGACGGCCCAGACUCCUACGGGAGGCAGCAGUGGGGAAUAUUGCACAAUGGGCGGAAGCCUGAUGCAGCAACGCCGCGUGCGGGAUGACGGCCUUCGGGUUGUAAACCGCUUUCAGCAGGGGCGAAGCUUGUGGUGACGGUACCUGCAGAAGAAGCACCGGCUAACUACGUG